This 73-nucleotide transfer RNA is filed under the name Tsukamurella tyrosinosolvens. Its description in RNAcentral is "tRNA_Arg_CCT". It matches the Rfam family "tRNA". From Rfam's summary of the family: Transfer RNA (tRNA) molecules are approximately 80 nucleotides in length. Their secondary structure includes four short double-helical elements and three loops (D, anti-codon, and T loops). The record is from RNAcentral. Lineage: Bacteria; Bacillati; Actinomycetota; Actinomycetes; Mycobacteriales; Tsukamurellaceae.
GCCCCCGUAGCUCAGUGGACAGAGCGCGGGUUUCCUAGACCAGGGGUCGGCGGUUCGAAUCCGUCCGGGGGCA